CACAUGCACUAGGGGUGCCUUUAAGAAAAGGCUGAGAUCGAAGUGAUACUUCGGGACUCUUUGAACCUGAACUGGCUCAAACCAGCGGAGGAAAGUGGCGGCUAUAUCAA
Molecule: non-coding RNA, 110 nt
Filed under: Halobacillus sp.
Lineage: Bacteria; Bacillati; Bacillota; Bacilli; Caryophanales; Bacillaceae
Also listed under: 1 other name
Description: TPP sequence
Rfam family: TPP riboswitch aptamer (THI element)
About the family: Vitamin B(1) in its active form thiamin pyrophosphate (TPP) is an essential coenzyme that is synthesised by coupling of pyrimidine and thiazole moieties in bacteria. The previously detected thiamin-regulatory element, thi box was extended, resulting in a new, highly conserved RNA secondary structure, the THI element, which is widely distributed in eubacteria and also occurs in some archaea. Analysis of operon structures identified a large number of new candidate thiamin-regulated genes, mostly transporters, in various prokaryotic organisms.
Source: RNAcentral